GACAGAGGGUGCAAGCGUUAUCCGGAAUGAUUGGGCGUAAAGCGUCUGUAGGCGGCUUUUCAAGUCCGCCGUCAAAUCCCAGGGCUCAACCCUGGACAGGCGGUGGAAACUACCAAGCUGGAGUGCGGUAGGGGCAGGGGGAAUUUCCGGUGGAGCGGUGAAAUGCGUAGAGAUCGGGAAGAACACCAGCGGCGAAAGCACUCUGCUGGGCCGACACUGACGCUGAGGGACGAAAGCUAGGGGAGCAAAUGGG
Molecule: ribosomal RNA, 253 nt
Filed under: uncultured bacterium
Lineage: Bacteria
Description: partial 16S ribosomal RNA
Rfam family: Bacterial small subunit ribosomal RNA
Source: RNAcentral